Long non-coding RNA from Cyprinus carpio (common carp), 239 nucleotides. RefSeq lists it as uncharacterized. The record is from RefSeq and is a predicted model, not a curated record. The transcript is spliced from 3 exons. NCBI's taxonomy places the organism in Eukaryota, Metazoa, Chordata, Actinopteri, Cypriniformes, Cyprinidae.
UCCUGCUGACCCAUAAAUUUGUUGCAGGAAACACUUGAUUUCCCAGAAGCAAGUAUAGAUUUAGAGUUUAGCUACAUAGAUGGGCAACUGCAUCAUAGAAUACCAAGAAGUGCAGGUACAGAGCUACUGGAGUUCAUUGUGGUUAUUGAGGUGAAUGCAUCACUAGCUGUUGUGAUUGAACAGAUCAGAGCGUCAUUGGCCUCCAUUACGUUUCCUCUUCAACUUGAUAACAGCACUGA